This 1180-nucleotide ribosomal RNA is filed under the name uncultured bacterium. RNAcentral describes it as "bacterial SSU rRNA". It matches the Rfam family "Bacterial small subunit ribosomal RNA", at positions 215 to 1398 of the family's 1533-position model. The record is from RNAcentral.
UCGCCUGAAGAGGGGUUUGCGUCUGAUUAGCUGGUUGGAGGGGUAACGGCCCACCAAGGCGACGAUCAGUAGCCGGUCUGAGAGGAUGAACGGCCACACUGGAACUGAGACACGGACCAAACUCCUACGGGAGGCAGCAGUGAGGAAUAUUGGUCAAUGGACGCAAGUCUGAACCAGCCAUGCCGCGUGCAGGAAGACGGCUCUAUGAGUUGUAAACUGCUUUUGUACGAGGGUAAACGCUCUUACGUGUAAGAGCCUGAAAGUAUCGUACGAAUAAGGAUCGGCUAACUCCGUGCCAGCAGCCGCGGUAAUACGGAGGAUCCAAGCGUUAUCCGGAUUUAUUGGGUUUAAAGGGUGCGUAGGCGGUUUGAUAAGUUAGAGGUGAAAUACCGGGGCUCAACUCCGGAACUGCCUCUAAUACUGUUGAACUAGAGAGUAGUUGCGGUAGGCGGAAUGUAUGGUGUAGCGGUGAAAUGCUUAGAUAUCACGAAGAACUCCGAUUGCGAAGGCAGCUUACUGGAUUGUAACUGACGCUGAGGCUCGAAAGUGUGGGUAUCAAACAGGAUUAGAUACCCUGGUAGUCCACACAGUAAACGAUGAAUACUCGCUGUUUGCGAUAUACAGUAAGCGGCCAAGCGAAAGCAUUAAGUAUUCCACCUGGGGAGUACGCCGGCAACGGUGAAACUCAAAGGAAUUGACGGGGGCCCGCACAAGCGGAGGAACAUGUGGUUUAAUUCGAUGAUACGCGAGGAACCUUACCCGGGCUUAAAUUGCAACAGAAUAUAUUGGAAACAGUAUAGCCGUAAGGCUGUUGUGAAGGUGCUGCAUGGUUGUCGUCAGCUCGUGCCGUGAGGUGUCGGCUUAAGUGCCAUAACGAGCGCAACCCUUAUCUUUAGUUACUAACAGGUCAUGCUGAGGACUCUAGAGAGACUGCCGUCGUAAGAUGUGAGGAAGGUGGGGAUGACGUCAAAUCAGCACGGCCCUUACGUCCGGGGCUACACACGUGCUACAAUGGCGUAAACAAAGUGAAGCGAGAGUGUGAGCUUAAGCAAAUCACAAAAAUAACGUCUCAGUUCGGAUUGUAGUCUGCAACUCGACUACAUGAAGCUGGAAUCGCUAGUAAUCGCGAAUCAGAAUGUCGCGGUGAAAACGUUCCCGGGUCUUGUACACACCGCCCGUC